CGCGGGGUGGAGCGCCUGGUAGCUCGUCGGGCUCAUAACCCGAAGGUCGUCGGUUCAAAUCCGGCCCCCGCAACCA
This 76-nucleotide transfer RNA is filed under the name Escherichia coli. RNAcentral describes it as "tRNA-Met". It matches the Rfam family "tRNA". From Rfam's summary of the family: Transfer RNA (tRNA) molecules are approximately 80 nucleotides in length. Lineage: Bacteria; Pseudomonadati; Pseudomonadota; Gammaproteobacteria; Enterobacterales; Enterobacteriaceae. The record is from RNAcentral.